Molecule: ribosomal RNA, 467 nt
Filed under: uncultured bacterium
Lineage: Bacteria
Description: partial 16S ribosomal RNA
Rfam family: Bacterial small subunit ribosomal RNA
Source: RNAcentral
GACGAACGCUGGCGGCGUGCUUAACACAUGCAAGUCGAACGGAAAGGCCCUGCUUUUGUGGGGUGCUCGAGUGGCGAACGGGUGAGUAACACGUGAGUAACCUGCCCUUGACUUUGGGAUAACUUCAGGAAACUGGGGCUAAUACCGGAUAGGAGCUCCUGCUGCAUGGUGGGGGUUGGAAAGUUUCGGCGGUUGGGGAUGGACUCGCGGCUUAUCAGCUUGUUGGUGGGGUAGUGGCUUACCAAGGCUUUGACGGGUAGCCGGCCUGAGAGGGUGACCGGCACAAUUGGGACAGGGGAGGCACCAGGAGCCCAACGGGAGGAAGGGGUGGGAAAUUUUGGGAAAAGGGCGGAGUCCUGAAGGACGACCCCCGGGGGGGGAAAGGCGGCUUUCGGGUUGGAACCCGUUUUCCCGUGAGAGGGAGCAGGGUGGAGGGAAAUGGUAAAAAAGGCACCGGUAAACAAGGG